Moniliophthora roreri is the source of this 94-nucleotide non-coding RNA. The record is from Rfam. NCBI's taxonomy places the organism in Eukaryota, Fungi, Basidiomycota, Agaricomycetes, Agaricales, Marasmiaceae.
GUGCCCGUAACUCAGUGGUAGAGUGUGAGAUUGCAAUAACGUUUCUGCAGCGUAAUCGAUCUCGAAGCCGCGUGUUCGAACCACGCCGGGCACU